Molecule: ribosomal RNA, 253 nt
Filed under: uncultured bacterium
Lineage: Bacteria
Description: partial 16S ribosomal RNA
Rfam family: Bacterial small subunit ribosomal RNA
Source: RNAcentral
UACAGAGGUCUCAAGCGUUGUUCGGAUUCAUUGGGCGUAAAGGGUGUGUAGGUGGCGCCGUAAGUCGGGUGUGAAAUUUCGGAGCUUAACUCCGAAACUGCAUUCGAUACUGCGGUGCUUGAGGACUGGAGAGGAGACUGGAAUUUACGGUGUAGCAGUGAAAUGCGUAGAUAUCGUAAGGAAGACCAGUGGCGAAGGCGGGUCUCUGGACAGUUCCUGACACUGAGACACGAAGGCCAGGGGAGCGAACGGG